GAGUUUGAUCCUGGCUCAGGAUGAACGCUAGCGGCAGGCUUAACACAUGCAAGUCGAGGGGCAGCACGGGUAGCAAUACUUGGUGGCGACCGGCAAACGGGUGCGGAACACGUACGCAAUCUACCAUUAUCUGGGGCAUAGCCCGAAGAAAUUCGGAUUAACACCCCAUAAUAUAUUUUGAAGGCAUCUUUAGAAUACUAAAACUCCGGUGGAUAAUGAUGAGCGUGCGUCCCAUUAGCUAGUUGGUAGGGUAACGGCCUACCAAGGCGACGAUGGGUAGCUGGUGUGAGAGCACGACCAGCCACACGGGCACUGAGACACGGGCCCGACUCCUACGGGAGGCAGCAGUGAGGAAUAUUGGUCAAUGGACGCAAGUCUGAACCCAGCCAUGCCGCGUGAAGGAUGAAGGCCUUCUGGGUUGUAAACUUCUUUACUAGGGAAGAAACCUCCGAUUUCUAUUGGAGCCGACGGUACCUAGGGAAUAAGCACCGGC
RNAcentral lists this ribosomal RNA (493 nucleotides) under uncultured Sphingobacterium sp. RNAcentral describes it as "bacterial SSU rRNA". It matches the Rfam family "Bacterial small subunit ribosomal RNA", at positions 9 to 497 of the family's 1533-position model. Lineage: Bacteria; Pseudomonadati; Bacteroidota; Sphingobacteriia; Sphingobacteriales; Sphingobacteriaceae. The record is from RNAcentral.